This 253-nucleotide ribosomal RNA is filed under the name uncultured bacterium. RNAcentral's name for it is "partial 16S ribosomal RNA". It matches the Rfam family "Bacterial small subunit ribosomal RNA", at positions 524 to 776 of the family's 1533-position model. The record is from RNAcentral.
UACGGGGGGGGCAAGCGUUGUUCGGAAUUACUGGGCGUAAAGGGCUCGUAGGUGGCCAACUAAGUCAGACGUGAAAUCCCUCGGCUUAACCGGGGAACUGCGUCUGAUACUGGAUGGCUUGAGUUUGGGAGAGGGAUGCGGAAUUCCAGGUGUAGCGGUGAAAUGCGCAGAUAUCAGGAGGAACACCAAUUGCGAAGGCAGCUCGCUGGGACGUAACUGACGCUGAGACGCGAAAGCGUGGGGAGCAAACAGG